UACGGCAGCAGUGGGGAAUAUUGCACAAUGGGCGAAAGCCUGAUGCAGCUAUGCCGCGUGUAUGAAGAAGGCCUUAGGGUUGUAAAGUACUUUCAUCGGGGAGGAAAAAACAAACUAAUAAUUUUAUUUCUUGACGUUACCCGAAAAAGAAGCACCGGCUAACUCCGUGCCAGCAGCCGCGGUAAUACGGAGGGUGCUAGCGUUAAUCAGAAUUACUGGGCGUAAAGAGCACGUAGGUGGUUUUUUUAAAGUCAGAUGUGAAAUCCCUGGGCUUAACCUAGGAACUGCAUUUUGAAACUGAAAUACUAGAGUAUCGUAGAGGGAGGUAGAAUUCUAGGUGUAGCGGUGAAAUGCGUAGAUAUCUGGAGGAAUACCUGUGGCGAAAGCGGCCUCCUAAACGAAUACUGACACUGAGGGUGCGAAAGCGUGGGGAGCAAACAGGGAUUAGAUACCCG
RNAcentral lists this ribosomal RNA (455 nucleotides) under uncultured bacterium. RNAcentral describes it as "bacterial SSU rRNA". It matches the Rfam family "Bacterial small subunit ribosomal RNA", at positions 344 to 788 of the family's 1533-position model. The record is from RNAcentral.